Xiphophorus hellerii (green swordtail) is the source of this 200-nucleotide long non-coding RNA. RefSeq lists it as uncharacterized. The transcript is spliced from 3 exons. NCBI's taxonomy places the organism in Eukaryota, Metazoa, Chordata, Actinopteri, Cyprinodontiformes, Poeciliidae. The record is from RefSeq and is a predicted model, not a curated record.
UGUUAAUACAGGAUUAAAGAUGGCGGAGCUCUGAAACGAAACCGUCCCCAUGGAGACAGUUAUGGGAUGGACCUCGCUGCAGCAAACAGAAAGGGGCGGGACGGACCACUAGAAGUCUGUCUUCAGAUGUCAUCUGGACCAUGGACAGAAUUUGUUGGCAAUGAUGUUAAGGGAUUGCCUAAACAAGGACUGUCCAACAA